Molecule: ribosomal RNA, 479 nt
Filed under: uncultured bacterium
Lineage: Bacteria
Description: partial 16S ribosomal RNA
Rfam family: Bacterial small subunit ribosomal RNA
Source: RNAcentral
GAUGAACGCUAGCGGGAGGCCUAACACAUGCAAGCCGAGCGGUAGAGUUUCUUCGGAAACUUGAGAGCGGCGCACGGGUGCGUAACACGUGUGCAACCUACCUUUAUCUGGGGGAUAGCCUUUCGAAAGGAAGAUUAAUACCCCAUAAUAUAAUGAUUGGCAUCAAUUAUUAUUGAAAACUCCGGUGGAUAGAGAUGGGCACGCGCAAGAUUAGAUAGUUGGUGAGGUGACGGCUCACCAAGUCAAUGAUCUUUAGGGGUCCUGAGAGGGAGAUCCCCCACACUGGUACUGAGACACGGACCAGACUCCUACGGGAGGCAGCAGUGAGGAAUAUUGGACAAUGGGUGAGAGCCUGAUCCAGCCAUCCCGCGUGAAGGAUGACGGUCCUAUGGAUUGUAAACUUCUUUUGUACAGGGAUAAACCUACCCUCGUGAGGGUAGCUGAAGGUACUGUACGAAUAAGCACCGGCUAACUCCGUG